CCCUUAGAUGUUCUGGGCCGCACGCGCGCUACACUGAUGCAUUCAACAAGCCUAGCCUUGACCGAGAGGUCCGGGUAAUCUUUGAAACUGCAUCGUGAUGGGGCUAGAUUAUUGCAAUUAUUAAUCUUCAACGAGGAAUGCCUAGUAAGCGUGAUUCAUCAAAUCGCGUUGAUUACGUCCCUGCCCUUUGUACACACCGCCCGUCGCUCCUACCGAUUGAAUGGUCCGGUGAGGCUUUGGGAUCUGAGCGGAAAGAGCGUUUCGCUGUUUCUGCUCGGAAAACUCAGUCGAACCUUAUCAUUUAGAGGAAGGAGAAGUCGUAACA
RNAcentral lists this ribosomal RNA (325 nucleotides) under uncultured eukaryote. RNAcentral's name for it is "partial 18S ribosomal RNA". It matches the Rfam family "Eukaryotic small subunit ribosomal RNA", at positions 1470 to 1796 of the family's 1831-position model. The record is from RNAcentral.